GGGAACAUACCCUUUUCUACGGAAUAGCUCUGGGAAACUGGAAUUAAUACCGUAUACGCCCUACGGGGAAAGAUUUGUCGGGGAAGGAUUGGCCCGCGUUGGAUUAGCUAGUUGGUGGGGUAAAGGCCUACCAAGGCGACGAUCCAUAGCUGGUCUGAGAGGAUGAUCAGCCACAUUGGGACUGAGACACGGCCCAAACUCCUACGGGAGGCAGCAGUGGGGAAUAUUGGACAAUGGGCGCAAGCCUGAUCCAGCCAUGCCGCGUGAGUGAUGAAGGCCUUAGGGUUGUAAAGCUCUUUCACCGAUGAAGAUAAUGACGGUAGUCGGAGAAGAAGCCCCGGCUAACUUCGUGCCAGCAGCCGCGGUAAUACGAAGGGGGCUAGCGUUGUUCGGAAUUACUGGGCGUAAAGCGCACGUAGGCGGAUAUUUAAGUCAGGGGUGAAAUCCCAGAGCUCAACUCUGGAACUGCCUUUGAUACUGGGUAUCUUGAGUAUGGAAGAGGUAAGUGGAAUUGCGAGU
Molecule: ribosomal RNA, 519 nt
Filed under: uncultured bacterium
Lineage: Bacteria
Description: bacterial SSU rRNA
Rfam family: Bacterial small subunit ribosomal RNA
Source: RNAcentral